RNAcentral lists this ribosomal RNA (253 nucleotides) under uncultured bacterium. RNAcentral describes it as "partial 16S ribosomal RNA". It matches the Rfam family "Bacterial small subunit ribosomal RNA", at positions 524 to 776 of the family's 1533-position model. The record is from RNAcentral.
UACGUAGGGUGCAAGCGUUGUCCGGAAUUAUUGGGCGUAAAGAGCUCGUAGGCGGUCUGUCGCGUCGGCUGUGAAAUCCCGGAGCUCAACUCCGGGUCUGCAGUCGAUACGGGCAAACUGGAGUACUGCAGGGGAGACUGGAAUUCCUGGUGUAGCGGUGAAAUGCGCAGAUAUCAGGAGGAACACCGAUGGCGAAGGCAGGUCUCUGGGCCACUACUGACGCUGAGAAGCGAAAGCAUGGGGAGCGAACAGG